Molecule: ribosomal RNA, 329 nt
Filed under: uncultured eukaryote
Lineage: Eukaryota
Description: partial 18S ribosomal RNA
Rfam family: Eukaryotic small subunit ribosomal RNA
Source: RNAcentral
CCCUUAGAUGUUCUGGGCCGCACGCGCGCUACACUGACUGAGCCAGCGAGUUUAUAACCUUGACCGAAAGGCCUGGGUAAUCUUGUGAAACUCAGUCGUGCUGGGGAUAGAGCAUUGCAAUUAUUGCUCUUCAACGAGGAAUGCCUAGUAAGCGCAAGUCAUCAGCUUGCGUUGAUUACGUCCCUGCCCUUUGUACACACCGCCCGUCGCUACUACCGAUUGAAUGGCUUAGUGAGAUCUCCGGAUUGGCUUUGGGAAGCUGGCAACGGCUACCUAUUGCUGAGAAGCUGAUCAAACUUGGUCAUUUAGAGGAAGUAAAAGUCGUAACA